This 497-nucleotide ribosomal RNA is filed under the name uncultured bacterium. RNAcentral's name for it is "partial 16S ribosomal RNA". It matches the Rfam family "Bacterial small subunit ribosomal RNA", at positions 28 to 507 of the family's 1533-position model. The record is from RNAcentral.
GAUGAACGCUGGCGGCGUGCCUAAUACAUGCAAGUCGAGCGAACAGAUAAGGAGCUUGCUCCUUUGACGUUAGCGGCGGACGGGUGAGUAACACGUGGGUAACCUAUCUAUAAGACUGGAAUAACUCCGGGAAACCGGGGCUAAUGCCGGAUAACAUGUUGAACCGCAUGGUUCUACAGUGAAAGGCGGCUUUGCUGUCACUUAUAGAUGGACCCGCGCCGUAUUAGCUAGUUGGUGAGGUAACGGCUCACCAAGGCAACGAUACGUAGCUGACCUGAGAGGGUGAUCGGCCACACUGGAACUGAGACACGGUCCAGACUCCUACGGGAGGCAGCAGUAGGGAAUCUUCCGCAAUGGGCGAAAGCCUGACGGAGCAACGCCGCGUGAGUGAUGAAGGUCUUCGGAUCGUAAAACUCUGUUAUUAGGGAAGAACAAAUGCGUAAGUAACUGUGCGCGUCUUGACGGUACCUAAUCAGAAAGCCACGGCUAACUACGUG